This is a long non-coding RNA of Triticum aestivum (bread wheat), 2508 nucleotides long. RefSeq lists it as uncharacterized. The record is from RefSeq and is a predicted model, not a curated record. The transcript is spliced from 3 exons. NCBI's taxonomy places the organism in Eukaryota, Viridiplantae, Streptophyta, Magnoliopsida, Poales, Poaceae.
UACUCUCCUUAAUCUCUCACGUCUCUCUCUCUCUCCCUCCCAUGAUCUCAUGUCUCUCUUCCUCCCUCACAUCUCUCUUCCCCCGCAUGGAAAACAGAUCUGUUCUCUCAUGAUCUCACGUCUCUCUUCUUUCCCAUAUGAAAACAGAUAUAUGUUUCUCAUAAAUAGGAGCAAAGAAGUUGGGUAUGAAUCCUACUCAUGGACUUACCACAUUAAAUUUUUGUUCCUCAUCUAAAUCAGGUUUCUCUUCUCACACAGAUUUGUUUUAAUUUUUUUAUCGGAUUAUCAUUGAAUCGACCGUAUAACUUUUGGUGGAUUCAGACUCAAUAUUUUCCUAUCACGCCCUUUAAAAGUGCUAUACCUAGGGAUCCAAUUCCAAAUCCUCUCACGCUCUUUGGAUAGCUCAUGGACAUCAGCUCGGAGCACAGAUGGGCCCAUGAGGUUAGCUUAUAUAUUCAACCUGUGGCCUAACACAAACUGUGUCAGCAUCAAGGAGCCUCUGUCGGUUGUCAGUUGAUCAAGCUUCUCAUGUCAGGUCACUCCUUUUUUCCUUCAAAAAUGAUGGCAUACAAUAUGCUCGAUGCGAUUACCAAUGGAAAGGAAUCCUGGAAAGUGAAGGUCAGAGUAAUUAGGCUAUGGGAUGCAUUAACCUCAACAACAAUGAACUUAUUAGCCUUGACAUGAUACUACUUGAUGAAAAUGUCAGCUCAUUGGUAAAAGAAUAUGGUUUUCCAACAUAGAUAGGUCACUAUGAGUUAUAUAUCGAUGCAUCUCCUCACUAUAUUAUUACUCCCUCCGUCCGGAAAUACUUGUCAUUGAAAUGAAUGUAUCUAGAUGUAUUGUAGUUCUAGAUACAUCCAUUUUCAUCCAUUUUGAUGACAAGUAAUUCCGGACGGAGGGAGUAUGUUUCAGGGCACACUAUGAUACACAACAUGGUAAUGAAACAUAUGGUUAACAAGUUUAGGCCACUGGUCCAAGAAUGAUGAUCACAUGAUGGAUUUUGAUGUUAUAAUAUUAUUAGUUUACUGCAGUCUCGGCAAAUUGAUUUUUGUUGAUAGAUAUGGUGGAACAGGAAAGAUGUUUCUGUGGAAAGCAUUUACGACAAAACUAAGGUCCGAAGGAAAGAUACUUCUAGCAGUAGCUUCAAGUGGUAUAGCAGCACCUCUUUUACAGGGUGGAAGCACAGCUCAUUCAAGAUUCCACAUUCCACUCAAGAUCACUAACGAGUACACAUGCGACAUCAAGCUAGGAACAUUUCUUGCGGAACUAAUAACGAGAACUUCGUUGAUAAUAUGGGAUGAAGCACCUAUGACACACAAGCACUGACAAGAGUUUGAGAGACAUACUUCGAUUCACAAAUGAGGAUGCCGAGCAUAGAACAUUUGGAGGAAUGACUAUAGUCUUGGGAGGCGACUUCAGGAAAAUCCUACCGGCUAUACCAAUGGGGAAAAGGGAACAUAUUUGUUUCCGCAUAUAUAAAGAGAUCCUACCUAUUGAAGAACUUUCAGGAGUACCGACUCACAAAAAAUAUGUGUCUGAAUUCAUCUGAAGGUAGUCCAGUAAAGAAAGCAAAGCCGGCGGAAUUUCCAAGCUGGAUGCAAAACAUCGGCAAUGGCGCAGCAACAACAACAAAUGAAGAAGAUUGGAUUAGCAUCCCAGAAGACCUUAUUUUACAUGAAGGAGAUAACCCCAAAGCAUCCAUUGUUAAUAGCAUCUAAUACCCUGACUUACAAAGCAGGUACACUCAUAGAACAUACCUAGAGAAAGAGCGAUCAUGUGCCCAAGAAACAAGAUUGUCGACGAGAUUAACACCCACAUCAUGAGUCAAAUCCUGGAGAAGAGAUCAUGAACUGAGGCUGAAAGUUGGAUUUUUCCAGUAAUGCUUAUGAGAAAAAUCAACCAAAGUGCGGGACUUUGCAAUGGGACAAGACUAACAAUAACAUAGUUAGGAAGGCAGUUCAUCGAAGGCCAGGUCAUAAACGGACCAAACGUUGCUGAGAGAAUACCCAAUAUCAGUGUGAUUUUGCUAUGACUAUUAACAAAAGUCAGGGGCAAUCUCUGAAAAAGGUUGGGCUGUAAUUAUAAAGGUAAAUGUUCACACAUGGUCAACUAUAUGUUGCAUAUACUCACAGCUUAUGAAGAGCGUCCAUUCGGCAGCGUUGCAAAAAACAUUAUUUAGAAGAAUUUAUUAUAGAUAUUUGAUUUAUUGCCGCUAUGAUUAGAACAAGCAGAAUCAUUCUUAUUUGUCUAAAUGUAAUGCGGACAUAGCUGCCUUUUCUGUUUAAAACUAUUGUCUCUGCAAUAUUAUAUUUGUGAACAAGGUACUUCUAUCUGCAUCUACAUCUAAACAAAAAUAUUGGUUUAAGGGCUCACAACUGAUUUGAGAAAACCAAGAUGCGAAUGUAUGCAUCGCCAUGUGUAGUUCAGACGAGGAGACAGACUCACUAAAGAUUACUUUAAACCAAGUCCUAAAGUUACAUAAGCAUAGACGAAGAAAGACCCUUUUCU